AAUAAAUAAUAGCACUACCGUACAGAAAUUACAAACCAAAAUGACAGCGACUCAGGGACGAAUUAUGCUGUCCCUCUUUGAUGUAUUGCACUAUCCCUUUCAGUCAUUUAGGUUUGGCAAAAUUCAAGUCAUUAUCUUAUAGAAAAACCGAAAGGAGGAGUGUUGACCCACUGGUGUUGUUUCGAUUGUAUGAGAGCGUAUUUUUGGUGGCGGGCUUGUGAUUCUUAAUUGGUAGAAAAAUAUUUUUACUGCUUGCAACUCUACUAUGGAGUGGUAGAAAAAGAUGACGGCGUCACGGCGGAAGUUCGUCGUCGGACUCGUCGACUCGCCGUAACGUUUUGUUCGUACGUCGAUCGCAAGCGCUCCUCUGCGCUCGCAUUCGCAAAUCAAUGGCCGAUGGUCAGAUGUGAUGCUUGCAGUCUCGGUCCGUAAAUUAUCGCGAAGGUACUACGCGUUUUAACUUAUAACAGUUCCUCUACUUCCAAAGUAAACUGUGUGGUGUGAAUUUCAGUGUGCAAACGGUGUAGCAACUUUAUUUCUGUGAUUGGACCUUGUGAAACUUUAAAUUUGUUAGUGAUCUCCGCGAUGCCAAGCACGUAAACACAUGUGACCGCCCGGCAAACGAUCCACGCAGUAAUGGCGUUCAUGACCAAGAAGAAACGGUACAAGUUCGGUGUUCAGUGCUGCCUCGAGGAGCUCACCGAGGUCCCGUUCGUGUCGGCGGUGCUCUUCGCGAAGGUGCGGCUGCUCGAUGGAGGGAAUUUCCAGGACCAUUCCAGCCGCGAGGAGGUCCGCAACCACGCGGUGCGCUGGAACGCGCAGUUCUCGUUCGUGUGCAAAAUGUGCGCGAACGCGAACACGGGUGUUCUAGAGCCGGCCCUGAUGCGCGUCUCCGUGAGGAAGGAGUGUAAAGGCGGACGUUCAUACCAGAAGCUCGGCUUCUGCGACGUGAACUUGGCGGAGCUGGCCGGUGCUGGCGAGAGCACACGCCGGCGGCUGCUCGAGGGCUACGACCCGCGGCGGCGGCUCGACAACUCCGUGCUGCGGGUGCGGAUCAAGAUGAACAUGAUCUCCGGCGACCCGCUCUUCAAAGUGCCCGAGCGCAAACAGGACGUGGACGGCAAGGCGGACAGCGGCUCCGAGAGCGCUGCCGGCGGGCCCGAGGAGGACUGCACGUCGAGCACGCCCAGCAGCGGUUUCGGCAGCCUCACCAAACGGUCCAACUAUGAGGGCAGCCACUCGCUGCCGCUGUCGUCGCUGCCGUCGUGCGAGAUGCCGUCGCCGGAGCCGGACGACGUCACCGACCAUCCUGGAACGGGAACGCUAACCGCCGCGUCGUGCGCGAGCUGCCUCCAGCAACACACACAUUCGCGCAACUCCUCGAACACCUCCGGGGACACGAGCAGCAAAGCGUCAGGUUACGGCAGCUCCGUAUCCGCCGCGUCCGCGCACUCCCGACAAAGCUCCGAGGGCGACUCCGCGGACGCGCGCCCCCACCACAACAGUCGCUUGUGCAAGCACACAGGGCGAGCACAAACGCUAACGAAGCUGCUGCUCGAGAAAUCAGUCUCGUCCGACAACUCGGACGUGUAUCUGACGCCCAACACGACCCUCACCGGACCGCCGGACGUCAUAAGGCACGCCAUACAGUCCCCCGCGACAGAAGACUACAAAACACCAGACACGACACUAACCAAUGAAAAUAAUCAACAUUUCGCUAUGCCCACUUACUUUGAUAAGAAAAAGAAGGCCGCGGCAACAAUGAUAAGCAACGCAGUCCAACCUUUAACGAACUUCCAAAUAUUCAAGCAGAAAUCUCUAAACACGAUCCCGGCUCUGAUAGAGAAAAACAAGCGCAACGAGGAGCUCUUCACCAACUUCCCAUUUCUAACACCUUUAGCGCACAGAAAGAGCUCACUAAUAUCCGACGCUAACAGACUAUCAGGAUGUAUAGAGGACGAGUUCUACAGCAUCACAUCUGACCAGGAGACUGACGGGGUGUCCGUCGACGUACGGAAUCGUUUCAAGAGUCUGUCUAACAAGAAUAUAGAUAAGGUUGUCACGUCGACGCCGAAAGAGAGGGUUGCUGUGAUACAGAGGUGUCACUACGCCUCGGAGCGCCGGCGCGGGGAGGUGCUGAGACACAGCUACACGGACCCGAGGAACCCGUCGUCCGGGUCGCUGACCGCGUCCGCGUCCGAGAGCGGCUCGCUGGACCGCGCGCGCGCCGCGUACUCGCGCCGCAAGCGCGCGCCUCAGCAGCCGCAGGCCGCGCCGGCCGACGACCAGCACAUGGUGUCCUGUCGAGUGGAGAACACGCGCGUGAAUCCUGACUCGCUGAUCGACGAGCUGCUCGCGCAGACCGAUCUCAAGCACGCCGUGGACGAGUCUGCGGAGACGUCCGGGCUGCAGCUGUUCAUAGCGCGCGACGGCACCGCGGAGCUGGGCUCGCGGCAGCGCACGGAGCGGCGGCCCGACUACCAGCGCGUCGUCAUACACCCGCACGAGCGCAGGUAGCCUACGGCCUGAGUGUACGCCGACGUGGGUCUCGGCCCGCCGCGGGUCUGACCCGACGCCCGACACCCGACACCCGACCACACCCGACAACUCGCAACAGACUCCCACGGGGACACUCGGCCGACCUCGACACUUCCUACGCAAUAGAUAUCACUUCCAUACGGCUUGUGUUCAAUUUUACUAAUUUUAUUCGGGGAGGAGCUGAAGCAGGCUGUUAGAACUGUCACAUACCCGGCGCAUGAGGGAGGCGGUACGUUUGCCGAUUAUCGCACUGAACGCGACCACUCUAGCCCCCGCAAACAUCCCCGAGGCGCUACAGUAACGUGGCAGUCCUAUCAGCAUGCGGAAUCCGUUAUCGUAUUGACCAGAAAGAAUGUGCGUAAAAGGACUGACAAAAACUAUUUCUGUCUAAACAAUUACGCACUUUACAUAAUAUUGUACACUGUACCGCUAGAACUCAUAUGUACGUCAUUCCAGUGCCUCCAAAAUGUACCUGACGGAUUUCCAGGGAGAAGCUGAAGCAGGCUGUUGGAACUGUCACAUACCCGGCGCAUGAGGGAGGCGGUACGUUUGCGGAUUAUCGCACUGAACGCGACCACUGUAGCCUCCGCAAACAUCCCCGAGGCGCUACAGUAACGUGGCAGUCCUAUCAGCAUGCGGAAUCCGUUAUCGUAUUGACCAGAAAGAAUGUGCGUAAAAGGACUGACAAAAACUAUUUCUGUCUAAACAAUUACACACUUUACAUAAUAUUGUACACUGUACCGCUAGAACUCAUAUGUACGUCAUUCCAGUGCCUCCAAAAUGUACCUGACGGAUUUCCAGGGAGGAGCUGAAGCAGGCUGUUUGAACUGUCACAUACCCGGCGCAUGAGGGAGGCGGUACGUUUGCGGAUUAUCGCACUGAACGCGACCACUCUAGCCUCCGCAAACAUCCCCGAGGCGCUACAGUAACGUGGCAGUCCUAUCAGCAUGCGGAAUCCGUUAUCGUAUUGACCAGAAAGAAUGUGCGUAAAAGGACUGACAAAAACUAUUUCUGUCUAAACAAUUACACACUUUACAUAAUAUUGUACACUGUACCGCUAGAACUCAUAUGUACGUCAUUCCAGUGCCUCCAAAAUGUACCUGACGGAUUUCCAGGGAGGAGCUGAAGCAGGCUGUUGGAACUGUCACAUACCCGGCGCAUGAGGGAGGCGGUACGUUUUCGGAUUAUCGCACUGAACGCGACCACUGUAGCCUCCGCAAACAUCCCCGAGGCGCUACAGUAACGUGGCAGUCCUAUCAGCAUGCGGAAUCCGUUAUUGUAUUGACCAGAAAGAAUGUGCGUAAAAGGACUGACAAAAACUAUUUCUGUCUAAACAAUUACGCACUUUACAUAAUAUUGUACACUGUGGCUCUAGAACUCAUAUGUACGUCAUUCCAGUGCCUCCAAAAUGUACCUGACGGAUUUCCAGGGAGGAGCUGAAGCAGGCUGUUGGAACUGUCACAUACCCGGCGCAUGAGGGAGGCGGUACGUUUGUGGAUUAUCGCACUGAACGCGACCACUCUAGCCUCCGCAAACAUCCCCGAAGCGCUACAGUAACGUGGCAGUCCUAUCAGCAUGCGGAAUCCGUUAUCGUAUUGACCAGAAAGAAUGUGCGUAAAAGGACUGACAAAAACUAUUUCUGUCUAAACAAUUACGCACUUUACAUAAUAUUGUACACUGUACCGCUAGAACUCAUAUGUACGUCAUUCCAGUGCCUCCAAAAUGUACCUGACGGAUUUCCAGGGAGAAGCUGAAGCAGGCUGUUGGAACUGUCACAUACCCGGCGCAUGAGGGAGGCGGUACGUUUGCGGAUUAUCGCACUGAACGCGACCACUGUAGCCUCCGCAAACAUCCCCGAGGCGCUACAGUAACGUGGCAGUCCUAUCAGCAUGCGGAAUCCGUUAUCGUAUUGACCAGAAAGAAUGUGCGUAAAAGGACUGACAAAAACUAUUUCUGUCUAAACAAUUACACACUUUACAUAAUAUUGUACACUGUACCGCUAGAACUCAUAUGUACGUCAUUCCAGUGCCUCCAAAAUGUACCUGACGGAUUUCCAGGGAGGAGCUGAAGCAGGCUGUUGGAACUGUCACAUACCCGGCGCAUGAGGGAGGCGGUACGUUUUCGGAUUAUCGCACUGAACGCGACCACUGUAGCCUCCGCAAACAUCCCCGAGGCGCUACAGUAACGUGGCAGUCCUAUCAGCAUGCGGAAUCCGUUAUCGUAUUGACCAGAAAGAAUGUGCGUAAAAGGACUGACAAAAACUAUUUCUGUCUAAACAAUUACGCACUUUACAUAAUAUUGUACACUGUGGCUCUAGAACUCAUAUGUACGUCAUUCCAGUGCCUCCAAAAUGUACCUGACGGAUUUCCAGGGAGGAGCUGAAGCAGGCUGUUGGAACUGUCACAUACCCGGCGCAUGAGGGAGGCGGUACGUUUGUGGAUUAUCGCACUGAACGCGACCACUCUAGCCUCCGCAAACAUCCCCGAAGCGCUACAGUAACGUGGCAGUCCUAUCAGCAUGCGGAAUCCGUUAUCGUAUUGACCAGAAAGAAUGUGCGUAAAAGGACUGACAAAAACUAUUUCUGUCUAAACAAUUACGCACUUUACAUAAUAUUGUACACUGUACCGCUAGAACUCAUAUGUACGUCAUUCCAGUGCCUCCAAAAUGUACCUGACGGAUUUCCAGGGAGAAGCUGAAGCAGGCUGUUGGAACUGUCACAUACCCGGCGCAUGAGGGAGGCGGUACGUUUGCGGAUUAUCGCACUGAACGCGACCACUGUAGCCUCCGCAAACAUCCCCGAGGCGCUACAGUAACGUGGCAGUCCUAUCAGCAUGCGGAAUCCGUUAUCGUAUUGACCAGAAAGAAUGUGCGUAAAAGGACUGACAAAAACUAUUUCUGUCUAAACAAUUACACACUUUACAUAAUAUUGUACACUGUACCGCUAGAACUCAUAUGUACGUCAUUCCAGUGCCUCCAAAAUGUACCUGACGGAUUUCCAGGGAGGAGCUGAAGCAGGCUGUUUGAACUGUCACAUACCCGGCGCAUGAGGGAGGCGGUACGUUUGCGGAUUAUCGCACUGAACGCGACCACUCUAGCCUCCGCAAACAUCCCCGAGGCGCUACAGUAACGUGGCAGUCCUAUCAGCAUGCGGAAUCCGUUAUCGUAUUGACCAGAAAGAAUGUGCGUAAAAGGACUGACAAAAACUAUUUCUGUCUAAACAAUUACGCACUUUACAUAAUAUUGUACACUGUGGCUCUAGAACUCAUAUGUACGUCAUUCCAGUGCCUCCAAAAUGUACCUGACGGAUUUCCAGGGAGGAGCUGAAGCAGGCUGUUGGAACUGUCACAUACCCGGCGCAUGAGGGAGGCGGUACGUUUUCGGAUUAUCGCACUGAACGCGACCACUGUAGCCUCCGCAAACAUCCCCGAGGCGCUACAGUAACGUGGCAGUCCUAUCAGCAUGCGGAAUCCGUUAUUGUAUUGACCAGAAAGAAUGUGCGUAAAAGGACUGACAAAAACUAUUUCUGUCUAAACAAUUACGCACUUUACAUAAUAUUGUACACUGUGGCUCUAGAACUCAUAUGUACGUCAUUCCAGUGCCUCCAAAAUGUACCUGACGAAUUUCCAGGGAGGAGCUGAAGCAGGCUGUUGGAACUGUCACAUACCCGGCGCAUGAGGGAGGCGGUACGUUUGUGGAUUAUCGCACUGAACGCGACCACUCUAGCCUCCGCAAACAUCCCCGAAGCGCUACAGUAACGUGGCAGUCCUAUCAGCAUGCGGAAUCCGUUAUCGUAUUGACCAGAAAGAAUGUGCGUAAAAGGACUGACAAAAACUAUUUCUGUCUAAACAAUUACGCACUUUACAUAAUAUUGUACACUGUACCGCUAGAACUCAUAUGUACGUCAUUCCAGUGCCUCCAAAAUGUACCUGACGGAUUUCCAGGGAGAAGCUGAAGCAGGCUGUUGGAACUGUCACAUACCCGGCGCAUGAGGGAGGCGGUACGUUUGCGGAUUAUCGCACUGAACGCGACCACUGUAGCCUCCGCAAACAUCCCCGAGGCGCUACAGUAACGUGGCAGUCCUAUCAGCAUGCGGAAUCCGUUAUCGUAUUGACCAGAAAGAAUGUGCGUAAAAGGACUGACAAAAACUAUUUCUGUCUAAACAAUUACACACUUUAUAUAAUAUUGUACACUGUACCGCUAGAACUCAUAUGUACGUCAUUCCAGUGCCUCCAAAAUGUACCUGACGGAUUUCCAGGGAGGAGCUGAAGCAGGCUGUUGGAACUGUCACAUACCCGGCGCAUGAGGGAGGCGGUACGUUUUCGGAUUAUCGCACUGAACGCGACCACUGUAGCCUCCGCAAACAUCCCCGAGGCGCUACAGUAACGUGGCAGUCCUAUCAGCAUGCGGAAUCCGUUAUUGUAUUGACCAGAAAGAAUGUGCGUAAAAGGACUGACAAAAACUAUUUCUGUCUAAACAAUUACGCACUUUACAUAAUAUUGUACACUGUGGCUCUAGAACUCAUAUGUACGUCAUUCCAGUGCCUCCAAAAUGUACCUGACGGAUUUCCAGGGAGGAGCUGAAGCAGGCUGUUGGAACUGUCACAUACCCGGCGCAUGAGGGAGGCGGUAUGUUUGCGGAUUAUCGCACUGAACGCGACCACUCUAGCCCCCGCAAACAUCCCCGAGGCGCUACAGUAACGUGGCAGUCCCAUCAGCAUGCGGAAUCCGUCAUUGUAUUGAACAGAAAGAAGGCGCGUAAAAGGACUGACAAAAAGCCUUAAAAAGGGUCUUUUUGACAUCCCCGUCACACCGUGCGAACCUACGUGACAGCAUUUACCACACAAAUAAACGGCAGGAACUGACGUAUACUCUUUUUUGUCUGCCUUAAAAACCAGUAAUUCGCUCUAUUUAGUGUUGUACAUCAGGCCAUGGGUCACCGCAUACUCCUCACAGAUCUUUAACAGUUUGACAAGAGCGCUGAUCGCCAGACAGCAGCACCAUAUCAUCUGCAUAACUGAUGUUGUUAACAAUGGUGCCGCCAAUUGAACAUCCGAUACCCGUGCUGCUGAGCCUAGCGAUCAUUUCAUCUAUUUUUUUUUCUAUGGGGGAAAAUGCAUUCCGCAUACCACCCGGGUGCGGGGGGUGACCCGUGUGGUUAUGUGGGACUCCCGUCUAGGCUAAUGAGGCCCACGGUAUACCCACUAAAAACCCCCCAUAUGCCACCUCGCCGCCUUAUUGGUGGGGUUACAGGAAUGCUUGCGUACUCAUCCGCGACCCCACCGGCGGCAGCUGCCCGCGAGCGGCUCCUUCGCGAAUGCCCGAAAGCCCUUCACGCGAGGCGCGCCAGAUGGUUCGACGCGCCUUCCUCCUCGGCCUCCGUCCUGCAGUGUAGCGGACCCCCCCGAGCCCGCCACAAGGAGGCCACGGGCGCCAGAAAACUCCCCAGCGCCCGGCGGCAGAUGAAGUCCAUGGUUCUGCCGCAAACCACAACUCGGCUGCAGAGGACAUGGAGAACGGCACACCGUAACACCGACACUCCUCUUCCUCUGCAGCCCCACCAACGCCGCUACAGCGGAACGGCCCCGCCAAGGUCGCAGGGGAUAGGGAGAGUGGCGCAUCGUGAUACCAUCACGCCUCUUCCCCUGCGAUCCCACCUCGGCCGUCGAGGAUAGGGAGAACGGCUCAUCGCAAUACCGACACUCCUCUUCCUCGACGGUCCACCUCCAACGCGUCACAAGCGGGCUUAUCAAGUCCACUUGGAGCGUCCUCCUCGGGCCAGCCGGCAGAUCAAACAGGCCGGCCCUGGUUGCCUCUUCGCUUCACCGUGGGAGACCAAAAGCUCCCUGAAAAUUAUUAUUGGAAAUAUUCGAUUUUUAUUUAUUACAAUUAACAUUACAUUUAUAAAUAACUGGAAAGUGAUCCGACCAAUAGGUAUCAUAUUUAACUUCUACAUCCACGACGGUCAACCAAGCUGACUCAGCGACCAAACAGUGGUCCAGCCACCUACUACUUCCAUUAGCGUCGCUUAUGAAAGUAUAUGUCCCCGAACCACUGCCUAGCCACUCAAUGUCAGCACAUCGCCAGGAGUGUUCCACACAAAAGUCACACAUCUCAUUAAAGAAAAGUUCCCCCGGAUGGGCAUUGAAAUCGCCAAGUACAAAAACACAAUCAGCACUUUGAGUUUCAAUGAUUGCGCACACCUCACUAAGGCAUUCCGUAAACUCGGGUAAAUUGGUUAUGUCAUCCGUCGGCAUAUACACAGAGAAUAUUAGAACCGAGCGCCCUCCUGCGUUUACACUGAUCGCAGCCAACCGUACACUACUACACUGUAUCACCUUUACCGCCGAGAAAACACCUUUUUUCCACAUCAAGGCACCACCCCCAUAUGGUCUUCCUUUCAAAACGCCAAGCGAAGAGUUCACCGCCACCGCGUGCUAAACACGAAGAAUUUCGUACAUUGACACGCCAUUCUGUCUGUCGCACGCGCGUAAUAUUGCUGAUAGAUAGAUAGAUUAAUUUAUUUCUCUCAUCUCUGUACAAGAUAAUAAUAAUUAAUUAAAUAUUGAAAAAAUAAAUAAUAAAAAACAAUUACCCAUCUAUGUCGAAAAUAUAAAUAAUGUCAAAAAUUAUUACUUGCUGAGUAUAAAGCGGUCUUUAAAAAGGUCUUUGCACGAGUGCCUCGAGUUCACACCUGCCAAUACGCGUAUGGCUCGCUUUUGCAGUUUAAACACUCUGACCGAAUGUGUUUUUGCUGGUUGCUGUCUAUAUUUACUGGCAUUGACCGCCGGCAUCAUCGGCGGGACAAAAAUACAUUGUAUUAUGUGCAAUACAGACGAAAUUCUCAGUGCUCAGCGUCCUUACCAUAGAAAUAGGAGCGCGUCUCGAUAUAUUUGGUCACUUUGGCCGUCACCACAGUUCGAAAUGAUAAUUAUCGUGAUUGUUAUGACUGAUAAUUAUCGGUUUGAUAAUAAUCUGAAAUUUAUAAAAUGUGGUAUGUUUAAAAACAAAUCGCGCGUGAAUUGGAACGUGGAUAGUUGCUUCAAAUAUAGCAAAAUCCAUUCCUGUGAUAAUUAUCCGAUAUUUAUCGCGAUAAUUAUUAAAGACUAUAAGUAUCUGGAUAACUUCUAACCCUGGCCGUGGCUAUCUAUUUGCCCCCUUAUUCAUAAACGUCUACUAAAGUUGACAAGCCGCUAAUAAUCGUUUGUCCCUUUCCGACGUAUUGAUAUGAUGGAAAGGGACAAACGAUUAUCAGCGGCUUGGCAACUUUAGUAGACGUUUAUGAAUAAUGGGGUUAGUGCUCACUUUACGAGAUCAAAUAACCAAUUUUAUGAUUGAUUUGAGUGUCACGUCCGUGAACUUUUUAAUAGUAGAUCCAAUUAUUUUGAUUAUAAUGUAUAUACGAACGAGGAAAUGUGUGUAACUAAUCGGGUGUUACUGAAAUCGGCAACAACCCUAGUCCCGUAGCUAUGUAUCGGCUGAACCGUAGAUUACCUAGUAGAUGUGGCAUUAGACUACAUGUAGUGGAUAAUCCUUUACCGUCGUAUUUUCACGGAAACGCACGUACGUGUUGUGCUAUUUCAGUCAGACUCAGUACAAAAUGUAGAAUACGAUGGUUAAGGAUUGUUCACAUCUGUGCUCUCACCGCACAAGCACUUAUGACUUAUGUCGUACGUUUAUUUCAUGGAUUGUAUUAUAUCCCCUCAACUGUGGGAAAGCCCGACAACCCCGAUAUACAACGUGUUACACCAGUCACUGAAAAUGGAGUGGGUACACGUUGUAUAGAUCAUACUGAGCAACUUUUACUUUCAGUGGCUGGUGUAACACGUAUAUUAAUGACAUAUAUAAAAUUUAAAAACGCUCCGGAAAUCUUUUCGAAACGUUGUUUAUUAAAGGAUGAUGUAAUUUUUUUAUUGUAUUAAAUGUAAAUAAAUAUUCUUGCCAAUGCUCGGAACCGAUUUUAAAAAUAGCGGUAAAUACCAGUUUAUUUCGGUUUAAAUCCGAACUUUUAUAAGAAGUUGAUUAAUCUAUGGUUGAGGCUGCGUUUCUACCAUAGAUGUGCGAGGAUGCGUAGCGAUGUAUUUGUUAAGAACUAAUGGAAAAUUGCCGAUUAUAUUGGUUCUUAACUCUUAACAAACCAAAACCUCCGGUGGAAACGCACCCUAAGAGUGACUUUAUGCGGUGAGUCUAAAUGCAAAAUCCAUCUACGGGAGGUAAUCUACGAGCUAGCAGCGCACUUGCCUGGCAGACUUGAAAAAGGCAGGUAGAUUUAACCCACCCCCCUGUAUUUUUAACAACCCCUAACUUUUAGGGCUCCAUUUGUGAAGCUAGUUACAAUUUGACUUGUCAUCCGGUGUGCGAGCAGGAUAGCUAUAUGCAUAGCGCUGUCUCGCUCGCACAAACUUAAAUUGUAAUUUUGCAAAACCAGGCCUGCCUUACGCAAUAACGUAUUAGAAAUAUAUAAUGUUGUAUGAAAAAUAAUACUAUAUAUUUUUAAACAAACUACUUGCCAAUAGGGCGUUUAAUCUUGAAUUAACUUAUUUAAAAUAAUUAUAAAAAAAUAGAUUUUUGUUAAAAUGAGGUAAAUUUUUAUUUCCAUGUUACAUCUACCCGCAUUUUUCCUAUUUUCUAUACAAUUAAGAGCUGUGAGAAACAAUCGGCUAGUUGUCUAUUUAUUGUCAUUAUAUUCGCGUAUCUAUAAGCGUAUUAUUGUAUGUAAGCGAUACAGUAUUUAAUACGAGAUUGUGUAUUAUAGCGGGAUCCAUACAAAUACAGGGGCAUAUAAUGGUCACGCUUAUCGCUUCGAUAGAGACAAGAUUGAGCGCUGAUAUCUCUCACGUUCUUACUUCGACGCUAUAAGUGCGACCAUAACACGCUCGCAGGGGCGUAGGGAUAUUGACAGUGAAAUUAUAACCUUACAGUCUGAAUUAUAGAGUUUAAUUUUGAAAUAGUUUUUUAAGUGAAAUGACAUUAGGUUCGUCGUUAUAAAGUCGGUAUUUGAGUUUCAUCAUUUCGUUAAGAGGAAAAGGGAUGAAGUCACGUGACCGCUCUUCAAAAUGUAGUUCCCAAUUUGGUCUCUUGUUAUUCGCCAUUUACAAUAUAAUUUACGCCAUUUCAUGUAUAUUAGCAACAGCAAUUUCAUGUAUAUAAAAAAAUCAAACAAAGGACAUUUUUUUUAGUUAUUAAUUUUGAUGUUUUUAGUUUUUAACCUUUUCGCCGCCAUUGACUUGAUAUUAAGUCGGUACUUGACCUGCCCCGCACGCCACUUUAUAUCAAGUCGUUGUUUCGGUGAGGUUUGUAUACGUGCGAUUUUUGACGUGGCGGCGAAAAGAUUAAUGAGGAAAAUGGGCACUACGUAUGAAUGGAGAAGAGUCCACUAUCUUAAAUAUGUUCUUACUCCAUACAGUUAACCGACAAUCAGUAAACCUUACUGUAAAUCAAAGAGAAUUUAUUGUAAUAGAGUGCAGUAUAAGGAAAAUACGUGCCCCUUAGUUUGGCAUCCAAAACAGAUGGCUGCGCCAUACGUUUACCUGUCAAAUUCGAAGCACGAAAUUGUCAUAGAUUUUACGCAUCUUGCAUGUAUUGUUGCUGUAAAUAUAUAAGGGUGUGACAAGUACAUCGAGAAACGCCGAUUGAAAAGAUAAAUGUGAUGACAGAUACUAUAAUUGGUUUUUAUUUUUAACAUUAGGAAAAAGGUAAACAAUCUUGACAUGUCUUUUUAUAGAAAAACGCUUUUUUAUUAGUAAUUAUUGCUUUUGAAAGCAAAAUAAUGUAAAUGUUAUUUGUAAUUGUCACAUAUUUGCCGUGACUUAUUUCUUAAAAGUGUUUUCCAAUAAAAGACACGUCAUAAUCGCUUGCCUUCUGUCUAAUGCUAAACUAUAUGAAGGGUCAUGUGAUCAUUUCCAAUAUUAUUUAAAUUUAGAUUGGCGUCUUCUAUCAGGUCAGGUAUUCUAUCUAGGAAAUAAGAAAAGUGAUUUCGGCGUUCUUAGAAACCAAUUCCCCAAGGGGGUUAAAGUAGCGUUCAUUGAAAGUUUGUCUUAAUCCCCUAAAUUGGUGAAAAAAAAAAUUUGAAAAUCUUAUGUCGAUCGUCAUAUAUCGCGUCGAAUGAUAGUUCCUAUAACAAUUUCUUCGUAUACACGAAAUUUUCUUGAGCAAAUUAAAAAAAAAUGUAGAAAUAUGUUUUUACCGUAUUUUUAUUACUCAAAGGUUACAUUCCUAAAUAAAUUAAUGUACAGAACUUCCGAAAUAUGUCUACAAAUAUUGUACGUCAUAACUCCAAUUAAAAGUCAUAGAAUCAUCAUUCGACGCGAAAGGUGCUGGGGGCCUACCGCGUCAAACCAAAAUUCGCAAAUUGCGGGGAUCUUUCUCUUUUACUCUCACUAAGACGUAAUUGGAGUGACAGAGAAAAAUGCCCGCAGUUGACGAACUCCGAUGUUCGCGGUUAUAGCCCUGGUCUCAUUACUAACACUUUCUACAAGUUACUUUAAUUUGUAUUCGUUCACGUAUCAUUGAAGUUGUUUGUCGUACAACUACAGAGAAAAGGUUUGUAAUUUCUAGUUCUGUAAUCCUUUGGAGUGUAAUUUUAUCUGGAACGAAAUAUGGUGCCCGCUGAAUGUAUUUACGCUGAGAUUGAAAUGAUGACAGAGAGAACAGAGGUUGUGUGCACUGUAUACUAUUGUAUCAAACUAAAGACACGGCGUAGAAGCAACUCUUUAGGAUAUAGUAACCUUGUAUGUUACAACCGAUUUGUGUUAUUUAUUUUUCAUUCACACUUUUUUUGUGUUCCUAAUAUUGUUAAACACGUUACUGGAGACCAAGAUAACUCUGCAGCGAUUUUUAUAGCCCAGAAACUUCUAUUGAAAUUAUGACGUUUAAAUAAUAGAUACACGUGUGUGCUAUAAAAAUCAAGGCUCGGAAACCGGUUAUAUUUCCAAACCGUCAUGUACUUGACGCAAAACCUUUUAAUUUCGGUUCCGUUUGUGAAACCGUUAUUAUUAAACCGGUUUUAAGGAGAACAUUUCCAUAAAGUUCUUGUCAGUUCAACCGGUUUAGAAUAAUAAAAACCGAUUUCUUCCUAUGUCGGUGUCUUUGUUUACGCGGCUCACCACCAGGGGGCCUACCGCGAAAACCGAAAUUCGCAAAUUGCGGGGAUCUUUCUCUUUUACUCUCACUAAAACGUAAUUAGAGUGACAGAGAAAAAUGGCCGCAAUUGACGAAUUUCAAUUUUCCCGGUAGCCGCCCAGGCCGGCCGUCGAAAGAACCAGUUUAUUUAGGUUACAAUAACAUUGUUAAAAUGUUCGUGUUAUGAAAGUUCGGAGUAAAACUAAAAUAAACCGGUAUUUACCGGUAUUUCUAAAACCAGUUCCUAGCCUUGAUAAAAAUCGCAGCAGAGUUAUCUUGGUCUUGGUAGUAAUAUCGGCCAGUCAAGGUCAUAUUUCAUAGACAUCUGAUAUUAAUAAUGGCAUUAUCACACCGCAAAUUGCAUAACUAUAGGACUACCGGCGAUUUACUUCGUUUAUCCGUUCGUCUAUUUGCCUCUUUCACUAUCGCGUAUCCGAGCGAUAAAGAGGCGAAUAGACGAAACUUUGUAUUUCGAUGUUGUUCGAAGAGAGCGGUCUCUACGUCGCGCCUGUCUCGCUUCCCCUUGAUGUACAAUCCUACAUAUUUAUUAUUUAGCUGUAAAUGCCAUAUAAUUAAUGUAAAUUAUAUUUAAUUUUCGUUUGGCAGUUUUUAAACGAAACCGGAGUUGUUACAGGUCAGUUUUGUGUAAUAAUUAUUUUGAUUAUUAAAUGUUAUUAAUUAUUAUAAUAUUGUUUGUGUCGUCCGUUCGUCUACCGUUUGUAUAUUGAUUUUACUACUGUACAAAGUCCGGUUUCGAACUAAGUAUUUUUAUUCUUAAAUGUAUAGUAUUCGUAAGUAGGUGUUAUUUGAAAUUUUUGUCGACUUUUUGUCGCGCCCUGACAUUGCCUCGGCUUAAAUAAAACGCCAUUUUCUUUGGUUAUAUGUA
This is an RNA transcript of Cydia pomonella (codling moth), 14541 nucleotides long. It is a transcript of the gene named EEIG family member 2, with no coding region annotated. The transcript is spliced from 15 exons. Lineage: Eukaryota; Metazoa; Arthropoda; Insecta; Lepidoptera; Tortricidae. The record is from RefSeq and is a predicted model, not a curated record.